This 1361-nucleotide long non-coding RNA is filed under the name Oryctolagus cuniculus (rabbit). RNAcentral describes it as "lncRNA (ENSOCUG00000036712.1)". The stretch from base 657 to 784 matches the Rfam family "ZEB2 antisense RNA 1 conserved region 1". Lineage: Eukaryota; Metazoa; Chordata; Mammalia; Lagomorpha; Leporidae. The record is from RNAcentral.
CACCGCCACCCCCCCGCCCCCCGCCGCCCCAUUUCCCGAGAGGAAAGAAAGAAACAAACAAACAACGCGAAACAGCCCCUGGAUGAAGAACACUCGGGCAAAUUGAUAAUAGUAAUUAUAGGAAGCCCACUCGCCCCGCGCCCCCUCCCCUUCCCUCUCCUCUCAGAGUUCAGCAAGGCACCGUCUCUUCCUCCCCCAGCCCUCUGCCCCCAAAUUAAGAUUUCCCAUUCUCCGCCGCAAUAAGAAAUAUAAUUAUAAGCCUCUUUGGACACCGUCCCUCCCCCCCCCCACCCCGCCACUUUGACAAAUUUGCUUAAGUAUUUGCCCCCACCUCACUCGCAAACAUACUCCCCCACGCUGGUUCCCAUAAAAAGUUCCAGCAGAAAUGUUGCUUUUUCUCCCCCCCCCCCCCCCCAGAAAGGAAAGAGAAAGUACAAUCAGCACGGCAAGACUUCUAAGCUGUCCUAAAUGAUGGUAUCCUUUCUGGCUUCGAAACUUUUGUACCUAAAAAUCGAGAGAGGCGCUGCAUGUUUUCAGCUGAAUCUGUCAAAACUUGGAGAAAGGAGACUCGGAGUCAGGCAGCAGAGGAGGAGAAUCCUGAAACUCGGUGGAGGUUGGGAAGAUGCUGUGCCUCCAGGAUUAGUUUAAACAGGGGGCUAUAAAAGAUGUAACAGAUGCAAACUGUAACACAAGGGCCAUUAACCCUUUCUCUGCCGAGCACACUCGGUCCCCACGCCCCGCACCUAUUGUCUCCUGUGCGAGCAGCUUUGCGGAAAACCUGGAAAUUUUGGCCAGAAAUGGUGAGAAGAAAAAGCAUGAAGAAGCCGCGAAGUGUGGGGGAGAAAAAGGUGGAAGCGAAGAAACAGCUCCCGGAGUAAACUGCACAAAACCUCGCCAAGAGUGUCGGGAGGCAGGACCGUUAUUCCUGCGGAGCAGGUUAGAACUGAUCUCUUUCGGCCACUCCAGGAAACACAAACCUGGGGACGGACUGACGUGUUACGCCUCUUCUAAUGACAUUUUUUUCUUUUUCUUUUCUGUAGGAGAGAGAGGAGAGACCCUGAAACACGCGCCACCUAUCUUUGUGGGGAGGGAUAAUUGAAGCGCCCUGAGCGUGAGCAUCAUGUGAAAACGUGAUCGCCAAGUUUCUCUCUGGGAAAGGAUCUGGGAUAGAUUAUACCUUGAAGUCUCCGCAAACGCUUUAGUGGAAGAAAUGAAAUUCCACCUCCCUCCCUUCCUCUCUCCCUCCCUCUCGCCUCCCACCCUCAGACGCUCAGGUCUCCACGACACCCCGGAGGGAAAGUGUAGCAGAUUAUAUUUUGUAUAGAAAGAAACAAAAUCCACGGAGUAGUGCAUGUAGCGUA